UGCCAGCAGCCGCGGUAAUACGGAGGGUGCAAGCGUUAAUCGGAUUUACUGGGCGUAAAGGGAUCGCAGGCGGCCUAUUAAGUCUGAUGUGAAAGCCCGGGGCUCAACCUCGGAACUGCAUUGGAUACUGAUAGGCUAGAGUAUGUUAGAGGAAAGCGGAAUACCUGGUGUAGCGGUGAAAUGCGUUGAGAUCAGGUGGAACACCGGUGGCGAAGGCGGCUUUCUGGGGCAUUACUGACGCUGAGGAUCGAAAGCGUGGGAUCAAACAGGAUUAGAUA
This 278-nucleotide ribosomal RNA is filed under the name uncultured bacterium. RNAcentral's name for it is "partial 16S ribosomal RNA". It matches the Rfam family "Bacterial small subunit ribosomal RNA", at positions 506 to 784 of the family's 1533-position model. The record is from RNAcentral.